Molecule: ribosomal RNA, 440 nt
Filed under: uncultured bacterium
Lineage: Bacteria
Description: bacterial SSU rRNA
Rfam family: Bacterial small subunit ribosomal RNA
Source: RNAcentral
CCUACGGGCGGCUGCAGUCGAGAAUCUUCGGCAAUGGGCGCAAGCCUGACCGAGCGACGCCGCGUGUGGGAUGAAGGCCCUUGGGUUGUAAACCACUGUCAGAGGGGAUGAAGUGCAUGAGGGCAAUCUCUCAUGCUUGACAUAGCCUCAGAGGAAGCACGGGCUAAGUUCGUGCCAGCAGCCGCGGUAAUACGAACUGUGCGAACGUUAUUCGGAAUCACUGGGCUUACAGGGUGCGUAGGCGGCUUGUCAAGUAGGGUGUGAAAGCCCCCGGCUCAACCGGGGAAUGGCGCCCUAAACUGGCGAGCUAGAGUGAGAUAGGGGUGUGUGGAACUUCCGGUAGAGCGGUGAAAUGUGUUGAUAUCGGAAGGAACGCCGGUGGCGAAAGCGACACACUGGAUCUUGUCUGACGCUGAGGCACGAAAGCCAGGGGAGCGAAC